UCCAGACUCCUACGGGAGGCAGCAGUGGGGGAUAUUGCACAAUGGGGGAAACCCUGAUGCAGCGACGCCGCGUGUGGGAAGACGGUCCUCUGGAUUGUAAACCACUGUCCCCAGGGACGAGGAUGACGGUACCUGGGGAGGAAGCUCCGGCUAACUACGUGCCAGCAGCCGCGGUAAUACGUAGGGGGCAAGCGUUAUCCGGAUUUACUGGGUGUAAAGGGAGCGUAGACGGUGAAGCAAGUCUGAAGUGAAAGGCGGGGGCUCAACCCCCGGACUGCUUUGGAAACUGUUUGACUGGAGUGCAGGAGAGGUAAGUGGAAUUCCUAGUGUAGCGGUGAAAUGCGUAGAUAUUAGGAGGAACACCAGUGGCGAAGGCGGCUUACUGGACUGUAACUGACGUUGAGGCUCGAAAGCGUGGGGAGCAAACAGGAUUAGAUACCCCCGUAA
RNAcentral lists this ribosomal RNA (447 nucleotides) under uncultured bacterium. RNAcentral describes it as "partial 16S ribosomal RNA". It matches the Rfam family "Bacterial small subunit ribosomal RNA", at positions 330 to 793 of the family's 1533-position model. The record is from RNAcentral.